RNAcentral lists this ribosomal RNA (491 nucleotides) under uncultured swine feces bacterium F18. RNAcentral's name for it is "bacterial SSU rRNA". It matches the Rfam family "Bacterial small subunit ribosomal RNA", at positions 7 to 497 of the family's 1533-position model. The record is from RNAcentral.
GAGAGUUUGAUUCUGGCUCAGGAUGAACGCUGGCGGCGUGCUUAACACAUGCAAGUCGAACGAAGCACCUUGAUUUGAUUCUUCGGAUGAAGAUCUUGGCGACUGAGUGACGGACGGGUGAGUAACGCGUGGGUAACCUGCCUCAUACAGGGGGAUAACAGUUAGAAACGAUGCUAAUACCGCAUAAGACCACAGCACCGCGCAUGGUGCAGGGGUAAAAACUCCGGUGGUAUGAGAUGGACCCGCGUCUGAUUAGGUAGUUGGUGGGGUAACGGCCUACCAAGCCGACGAUCAGUAGCCGACCUGAGAGGGUGACCGGCCAUAUUGGGACUGAGACACGGCCCAAACUCCUACGGGAGGCAGCAGUGGGGAAUAUUGCACAAUGGGGGAAACCCUGAUGCAGCGACGCCGCGUGAGCGAUGUUGUAUUUCGGUAUCGUAAAGCUCUAUCAGCAGGGAAGAAAAUGACGGUACCUGAUAAGAAGCACCGGC